UAAUCAACACUGUCCCCACAGGAUGGGAUGUGUGCUUCACGCCAGAUCCCUGAAGUUAGAGCAUGGGCUUCUUGAGGACAGAAGCUUUUCUUUCCUGUCUGCUCCCACCGCCUGGGUUGAUGGCCUUCCCUGAAGACUCUGGACACAGCCUGCACCUGGAGGCUGACGUGUCCGUCCCCACAGUAACCACCCGCCCGUGGAUGAACAAGCAGAGAGCCCUGGACGCUUCGUCAAUGCUCACUUCACCUUUAA
RNAcentral lists this long non-coding RNA (252 nucleotides) under Homo sapiens (human). RNAcentral's name for it is "HSALNT0132446". Lineage: Eukaryota; Metazoa; Chordata; Mammalia; Primates; Hominidae. The record is from RNAcentral.